Molecule: transfer RNA, 73 nt
Filed under: Bos taurus (domestic cattle)
Lineage: Eukaryota; Metazoa; Chordata; Mammalia; Artiodactyla; Bovidae
Also listed under: 2 other names
Rfam family: tRNA
About the family: Transfer RNA (tRNA) molecules are approximately 80 nucleotides in length. Their secondary structure includes four short double-helical elements and three loops (D, anti-codon, and T loops).
Source: Rfam by way of RNAcentral
UCUCUGGUGGUCCAGUGGUUAGGACUCUGUGCUUUCACUGCAGAGGGCUGGGCUUCAAUCCCUGGUUGGGGAA